UAUGUUAUUCCAUCCAUCUCCAACAUUUUGGUCAGUACUAGAAUAUGCCUUGCAGGCAGAAUCGAGAUCGUAGCCCCUACUUGUACAAAGUCUUCAGGAAUCACGGUGCAACACUGCAACUGUGCAAGUGUCUGUCAGGUGUGCAGCGAACCAUGCUUGAUUGUGCCACCAAGUUUUCUGUACUACUUUAAUUUACAUAAAAAGAAAAUAAAUAAAACAAAUCGCAGCUCUCGGAUCAUCUUCUCCCUUGCCCCUCGCCACAACCCUCACAAGAGUCAUCUGAGAGGAACUAGAUGACUACCAGCUCCGUGAUGAGUGCCAAAUAAAUCAUGGUGGCCUUCGGCCGCCGCGGCGACAUGGAACGGGGGCCAUGGCCAAGGAGCCUAUGGCACGCGGGAGGCGUCAACUCGUUGAUGCUCGAUCGGCCUGGAUGGAUGCACUGCCAGAGCGAGCAGCUCCGUCCUGAGACCUGAUGGAAGCGGCGGCAAGGUCGGCCGGCGCGUGGCGGUCGACGCUCCAGCGAGCCGCGGCACCAAGCAGAGGAAAGUGAAUUUCCCGUCAAGCGGGAGGAGCAUUGCAUAGGGGUGGGAGGGGGACCGCCGCCAUGGCUGGUCCUGCUUCCUAUGGGUAGACGGGGGCUCGCUUUGGCUACCUGGCCGCGGGGAUGGCGGAGGACGCCGGCGGCCAUGGGUCUGACGUUUGGCUCGGAAUAUAUAUUCGCAGAAAAUUCCCUGGACUGAAUGUAUUAUUUCAUAAAAACUCCUUCACUGUGCAAAUAGCCCCCUCGUUCGGAUCACGAUUACUAAUCGCGAUUCGAUCAUUUACAGAAUACCCCCUGUUUUGGUUAGGAUUUUUGUAGAUAGACCCCCGGUUCGGUUCGGCUUCCGUCCGCCGCCGCUGGCCGCCGCCGUCACCGCCACCCUCUUCUCCGGCGGGGAUCGCGAGGCUUCUUCUCGACGACACAACAAUCCAUGCUUCAUCAGCUUGCACCAGCAAUAUCUCCAGUCCUCUGCUCCCAUAGCAACGGGGCGCCGGAGGUUCUCCACCCUCCCACCUGGGCAGGUUGCGCUUCCUCUGCUUGAAUACCCGCCUCUCGCCGGAGCGCCGCUACCAGCGGGGAUCUCGAGGCCCCACAUCUCGCGCAUGGCACGCCAAUAUCCGGCUCAAGAGCUACCGCCAGCAAUGUUAUCUGCUACGCCAGAGGUCGCAGGCGCGCACCAGGCGCCAUUCGCAUCCUUCUCCUCCCAGGCUGCGCCUCAGAAUGCCAAGUCCACCAUUUUCAGAAUGCGUCAGAGCCUGAAUAUUUUCUGUUUGGCCUCAUGAAUGGAGCAAGUCAGGAACAAAUGGCAGAUACUACGGACUAGUUGCAACUUCAGAGAAGCAGGCAGGUCCAUUGUUUAGAAGAAUCUGAGUCUCUCUGACCAACCAUGUGACAAAUUGGAAUAUAUACCUAGUAUCUACUCCUUUGGAGAAAAGGAGGAAGGAACAACCAUGUCGUUGCUGCAGUGAGAUAGAUAUCCG
This is a long non-coding RNA of Panicum hallii, 1521 nucleotides long. RefSeq lists it as uncharacterized. The transcript has 3 exons. NCBI's taxonomy places the organism in Eukaryota, Viridiplantae, Streptophyta, Magnoliopsida, Poales, Poaceae. The record is from RefSeq and is a predicted model, not a curated record.